CAAGUUGAUUCAAGGAAAGUUUUUCUUUUACAUUGAAAAAUAUUAUCGUGCAAUUCGAUUAAGCUUGA
Molecule: transfer RNA, 68 nt
Filed under: Polyphaga aegyptiaca
Lineage: Eukaryota; Metazoa; Arthropoda; Insecta; Blattodea; Corydiidae
Description: tRNA-Val
Source: RNAcentral